Long non-coding RNA from Penaeus indicus, 247 nucleotides. RefSeq lists it as uncharacterized. NCBI's taxonomy places the organism in Eukaryota, Metazoa, Arthropoda, Malacostraca, Decapoda, Penaeidae. The transcript has 3 exons. The record is from RefSeq and is a predicted model, not a curated record.
UGAAUCAUAAGUUAGGCUAGGCUUGACUUGAUAAAAAAAUUAUUUGAAAAUUUCAAGUUUCAGAUUUUCCUGUAAUGCUGGCUACGUGAGUGAUGACCUACAAAUGAACCUUUUCCUCUUCAAUAGAUGCUGGGUGGAUAAACUACAGGUGUCCAAAUUUAUAACUCUUGGCAAAAGAAAGAGAUGACCAAGACACUAUGCUGCCAGGAAGGCCGAGGAAGAGGAGAAAAGGAGAGAAAUACAGCAG